Non-coding RNA from Salmo salar (Atlantic salmon), 54 nucleotides. Lineage: Eukaryota; Metazoa; Chordata; Actinopteri; Salmoniformes; Salmonidae. The record is from Rfam.
AAUCCACCAAUUUGUAAGUCGCUCUGGAUAAGAGCGUCUGAUAAAUGGCGUAAA